Mesocricetus auratus (golden hamster) is the source of this 680-nucleotide long non-coding RNA. RefSeq lists it as uncharacterized. NCBI's taxonomy places the organism in Eukaryota, Metazoa, Chordata, Mammalia, Rodentia, Cricetidae. The transcript is spliced from 2 exons. The record is from RefSeq and is a predicted model, not a curated record.
CAGCCCCUUCCUGCCUUGAACCCUUGACAAUAUCCACUUUGAAGAGUUCAGAAGGCUCCUAGAAACCUGCAGGGCUGAUGUCUCACUGCUGAAGAGAGGCAGAGUGUAGGAGGGGCUGUCAUUCUGUAGGCCACACAUCAGUAACAAGCAGAGGUAGAAGACAUGUGCAUCCAGGGUCAGUUUUCUCCCUCCUCAUCAGUAACAAGCAGAGGUAGAAGACAUGUGCAUCCGGGGUCAGUUUUCUCCCUCCUCAGCCCACAUCCCAGCUCCCGCAUACCAGGACCGGCAUCCAGAGAGCCGUAUGUGAGUAACAGAGUAACAGCCAUGGCUGUGGAAACACCAGCAUGUACGGGGGUCAGCAGGAGGUCUGGAGAAGUAACAGAGUAACGGCCACAGCUGCGGAAACACCAGCAUGUACGGGGGUCAGCAGGAGGUCUGGAGAAGCUACUCUUUGGCUGGAUGGGAGGAGACUGGUGGGGUACAGAGUAGCAGCCUGAGGUUGUGUUUUCAGAUGAGGGCCAGUCUAUACUGCCAGCCAGAGGAGGGCUCCCAUCUCUUCUUCAUUGGCUUGCAGUCUCAGCUUUCCUCCCCCAGAUCAGCAAAAGCAGAAGCAACAGUAUGUAUCACACACACACACACACACACACACACACACACACACACACACACACACACACACA